Non-coding RNA from Bos taurus (domestic cattle), 72 nucleotides. NCBI's taxonomy places the organism in Eukaryota, Metazoa, Chordata, Mammalia, Artiodactyla, Bovidae. The record is from Rfam.
UCCCUGAUGGCUCAGAGGUUAAAGCGUCUGCCUGCAAUGCGGGAGACCUGGGUACGAUCCCUGGGUUGGGAA